RNAcentral lists this non-coding RNA (22 nucleotides) under Arabidopsis thaliana (thale cress). The record is from RNAcentral. Lineage: Eukaryota; Viridiplantae; Streptophyta; Magnoliopsida; Brassicales; Brassicaceae.
AGGUCCCGCCUCUAGGAGAUAU